RNAcentral lists this ribosomal RNA (2485 nucleotides) under Tylos europaeus. Its description in RNAcentral is "bacterial SSU rRNA". It matches the Rfam family "Eukaryotic small subunit ribosomal RNA". Lineage: Eukaryota; Metazoa; Arthropoda; Malacostraca; Isopoda; Tylidae. The record is from RNAcentral.
CGGUAAUUCCAGCUCCAAUAGCCNAUAUUAAAGUUGCUGCGGUUAAAAAGCUCGUAGUUCAAUCUCACGAUUGGAAAGACGGAGAAAGCGCCGUAUUAGGGCUCUCUUCUUCGAGUUGCUCGGCUCGUCGUCGUCGUCUUUUUCCUCUUUCCCGAACGAUGGAAGAGGAUGGUGGCGAGAGCUCAUACGACGACGACGAACGAAAGUUGUUAUUAAGACGGUGCUACGAACGACGGUACUAGCCGAGUCGGCUAUAUAUAGGCGUCGGUAGCGGAUUUAUNGUCGGUCGGUCGGUCGGUCGGCCGUGUUCGCGGAUGAUGCGCAGUCCUAUCCCUUCACGCCGCGCUUCGGGUUAGCUAGAAAGACGUUGUCUUCCGCUAGCUCCUUUAGCGCGGUCGUGGCUUCUAAGAAAAAGGGUAGGACGCUGUUGCGUCUCCGUCAACGGUCGCCGCCGCCGCCGCCGUCGUCGUCGUCCGCCGCCGAUCGUACUAAUGCUAUACUACUACUAGUACUACUACGUUCACCGUCGACUCCGUCUUCGUUCGUUGCGUCGUCGCUUUCGCUCUUUCUUUCUUACUUCCAUUAUAAUGGAAGGAAAAGAGUGUAGAUGGCGUUGCCAGCAGCGGUAGAGGAGGUGUCCCGGCGUAAGAAAGCCGUCCCUUUCCAUGAACAACAAUGGCCGGCCCGCCCGGCGACAAAACGCGGCGGCUUUCAUCGGUUUGUUUCCCUGGGAGUAGAACGGGGGUAUGAUCGCUUUUGUUGUUGUCGUCUCGCUCGGUAAGUAAGUGAGUUAGUAAGCUAUGUAGCUAGUUGAAGUAAGCAGUCACUCCUCUACGGAGCGAGCGGCUUCUUCCUCGCUGAUGCUUCCUGCCUGCUUCUACUAGUAAAAGCGUUUCGAACACGCCGCGCAUCGUACCUCUUAGUACGCGUUUUCAGGGGCUGCUGCUGCUGAUGAUCGGCCCGCGUUUGCGCGCCCGCGCUCGGCCGGCCACUUUCACUUUGACAAAAUUAGAGUGCUCAGAGCGGGCAAGAUCUGAAGCCCGAAUGGAGGUGCAUAGAAUGAUCUAAGAUGACCUCGCGAUNUAAACGUUUGUCGGUUUAUGGGGUCGCGAGGUAAUGAUUAAAGGGGACGGACGGGGGCGUAAGUAUGGCCCGGUUAGAGGUGAAAUUCUUGGACCCGGGCCAGACUAGCUACUGCGAAAGCAUUCGCCAAGAACGUUUUCAUUAAUCAAGAACGAAAGUCAGAGGAUCGAAGGCGAUCAGAUACCGCCCUAGUUCUAACCAUAAACUAUGCCAACUAGCGAUCCGUCGGAGUCAUUCCCACGACUCGGCGGGGAGCCCCCGGGAAACCGAAGUCUUUAGGUUCCGGGGGAAGUAUGGUUGCAAAGCUGAAACUUAAAGGAAUUGACGGAAGGGCACCACCAGGAGUGGAGCCUGCGGCUUAAUUUGACUCAACACGGGGAAACUCAUCAGGCCCGGACACCGGAAGGAUUGACAGAUUGAGAGCUCUUUCUCGAUUCUGUGGAUGGUGGUGCAUGGCCGUUCUUAGUUGGUGGAGCGAUUUGUCUGGUUGAUUCCGAUAACGAACGAGACUCUACCCUAUUAACUAGUCGGAGUAUCGUUACCCGAGAGAGGUUUCCCUCUCGCGCCGAUAUCCGGGAUGGCGGCAACGACGAAUUGAGGGUCUCGCCCCUGCCGUUUUUCGUCGUUCGCUGUUGUCGUCGCGGCUGCCCGCGUUCGCUGCAUGCAGCUGCUGCUGCUGCCGCUGCCUCACGGUGGUGGUGGUACGUAGUAAUGCGUGUUCGUACGCGGUUAGCCGCGCGGCUCAGCGCUCGAGUGGACGGUAUAGGCGGUCGGGCUCCUCGUUCGUUUUGCCGCCUCUCCCGGGUCGGACAACGUGAGKGGGUUCCAUGAGGGGUGUACUCCGCAAACUAUCUUCUUAGAGGGAUCGGCGGUGUCCAGCCGCACGAGAAAGAGCAAUAACAGGUCUGUGAUGCCCUUAGAUGUUCUGGGCAGCACGCGCGCUACAAUGCAGGGAUCAAAGCGCUUUCCCCCUCCGAAAGGAGCGGGUAACCGUUUGAAACCCCUGCCCGAUUGGGAUUGGAGAUUGCAAUUCUUCUCCAUGAACGAGGAAUUCCCAGUAAGAGCGAGUCAGCAGCUCGCGUUGAUUACGUCCCUGCCCUUUGUACACACCGCCCGUCGCUANNANNGAUUGAAUGAUUCAGUGAGGACGUCGGACUGACGCCCUCGGUUGCCACCCGCGUCGAAGGGAACUACCUCCUUUACUACUGGCGGCGCCGCUCCGUCUCCUUCUCGUCUCACCGAGUCGGUUGCACGGAGAGAGGCGGCGGUGGUAGUAGUGGGAGACCCGCGUACGUUCGGGAAACGGCGCCCCCGCGGCUGUCGGGAAGACGCCCGAACUGGAUCAUUUAGAGGAAGUAAAAGUCGUAACAAGGUUUCCGUAGGUGAACCUGCGGAAGGAUCA